Non-coding RNA from Delphinapterus leucas (beluga whale), 522 nucleotides. NCBI's taxonomy places the organism in Eukaryota, Metazoa, Chordata, Mammalia, Artiodactyla, Monodontidae. The record is from RefSeq and is a predicted model, not a curated record.
GUGCUUGAUGUUGUACCAGAGGGCUCUUAUACUGUCCUCUUUUUUUUUCUCUUUUCUUCUUUUGUUUAGCGUCAGUGAUUUCCACUACUCUGUCUUCCAGCUCACUGAUCCGUUUACCACCUACCUCUUUGAGAGGCUCUCCAAGACCAGCAGGUUCCAGUCUUUUUCAUCGAUGGCUGUUCUGCAGAUCGUUGUGAUUUUGGUGUGCUUGUGAGAGGAGGCUCACUGUCCCACGUCCUUCAAAGCCUCUCUGGACAGCUCCAGUGACCUCUGCAGACACACCUCCUUCCACAACAACUCCCAGCAAGGGCUACUUAAAAUUAUCCACAGAAAUCUGGUCUGAACCCUUACUUCAAGGUCUAGCUCCUUUGCAAAUACUUCUCAGGACCCCAGGGGCCUUCAAAUCGGGCCAAGUUACAGUGUGUCAAAGUGUGCAGCGCCUCAAGGUGAGUGUCUGGAGCCUGGAGACUCAUUCAGUGGCACACAGUCACGCCCAUUCCUUUCCGGACUGGCCUCGGCUGC